CAAUGGUGGUGAUACUUUUAUAAAUAAUAUAUUUCUAAAUCUCUCAGAGAGAAUUAUGCAGUAGUGAUACUAUAAAGUAGUUGCAUGAUGUCAACUUAAUGUGAC
Octopus sinensis (East Asian common octopus) is the source of this 105-nucleotide long non-coding RNA. RefSeq lists it as uncharacterized. The transcript has 3 exons. Lineage: Eukaryota; Metazoa; Mollusca; Cephalopoda; Octopoda; Octopodidae. The record is from RefSeq and is a predicted model, not a curated record.